GACGAACGCUGGCGGCGUGCUUAACACAUGCAAGUCGAACGGAAAGGCCCUGCUUUUGUGGGGUGCUCGAGUGGCGAACGGGUGAGUAACACGUGAGUAACCUGCCCUUGACUUUGGGAUAACUUCAGGAAACUGGGGCUAAUACCGGAUAGGAGCUCCUGCUGCAUGGUGGGGGUUGGAAAGUUUCGGCGGUUGGGGAUGGACUCGCGGCUUAUCAGCUUGUUGGCGGGGUAGUGGCUUACCAAGGCUUUGACGGGUAGCCGGCCUGAGAGGGUGACCGGCCACAUUGGGACUGAGAUACGGCCCAGACUCCUACGGGAGGCAGCAGUGGGGAAUAUUGCACAAUGGGCGGAAGCCUGAUGCAGCAACGCCGCGUGCGGGAUGACGGCCUUCGGGUUGUAAACCGCUUUCGCCUGUGACGAAGCGUGAGUGAUGGUAAUGGGUAAAGAAGCACCGGCUAACUACGUG
This 468-nucleotide ribosomal RNA is filed under the name uncultured bacterium. Its description in RNAcentral is "partial 16S ribosomal RNA". It matches the Rfam family "Bacterial small subunit ribosomal RNA", at positions 28 to 507 of the family's 1533-position model. The record is from RNAcentral.